This 2301-nucleotide unclassified non-coding RNA is filed under the name Diabrotica virgifera virgifera (western corn rootworm). RNAcentral describes it as "zinc finger protein 431-like". The record is from RNAcentral. Lineage: Eukaryota; Metazoa; Arthropoda; Insecta; Coleoptera; Chrysomelidae.
CACGCAUCACGUGUUGCUUUAUUUUAUUUAUAGAUUCAUUUUUGUUGAUAAAUAAAUUCGUUUAUUACUUUUAUUAGUUAUGGAAGUUAAAAGUGAAAUUAAGAAAGAAUUUACUGAAUGUGACCAAAAAUCAGAAAGUCAUCUGUUUACAUCAGUAGAUCUCCAUAACUUAAAAAAUGAACCAAAAGAAGAUCACCCAGCUAUGGAAAUUAAAGUUGAAAAAGAAGAGUUUCCAGAAUGUGAUCAUGAAGAUAUAGAUAAUCUAUCCACAUCAAUAGAUUUUCAAGAUUUGAAGGAUGAACCAGAAGCAGAGGAAAAUCAACCAGGUUGCUUACGCAGUAAGAACGUAAUGAAAAUUAUGAAACCACCUGAACAUUCAUCUCAUAAAAAAGAAGCUUUGGGUAGAUACGUUGAAGAAAAAACAUUAAGUAACAACAUAAAAGUUCAACCGGGUAAUGGACCUUACACAUGUGCAAUUUGUUUAAAACAAUUUACUGGAGUAUAUAAUCUGAAAUUACAUAUGAUGACUCACACUGGACAAAAGCCUCACAAGUGCAAAAUUUGUUUUAAGCAAUUUAGUCAACCCGGUAAUUUGAAAUCACAUAUGAUGAUUCACACUGGAGAAAAACGUCAUAAAUGUGAAAUUUGUUUUCGGUCAUUUACUCAACCCAGUCAUUUGAAAUCACAUAGUAUGACUCACACUGGAAAAAAGCCUCAUAAGUGCGAAAUUUGUUUUAAGCAGUUUGCUCGAGUCGGUCAUUUGAAAUCACAUUUAAUAAUUCACACUGGAGAAAAAGGUCAUAAAUGUGAAAUUUGUUUUAAGCAGUUUACUCAACCCGCUAAUUUGAAAUCUCAUAUGAUGACUCACACUGGAGAAAAGCCUUAUAAGUGCGAAAUCUGUUUUAAUCAGUUUACUCGAGUCCGUGAUUUGAAAUCACAUAUGAUGUUUCACACUGGAGAAAAGCCUUACAAGUGUGAUAUUUGUUUGAAACAGUUUAGUGUUGCAUUUACUCUGAAAUCACAUAUGAUGAUUCACACUGGAGAAAAACCUUACAAGUGUGAAAUUUGUUUCAAGCAGUUUACUCGAGUCGGUCAUUUGAAAUUACAUUUGAUGAUUCACACUGGAGAAAAACGUCAUAAAUGUGAAAUCUGUUUUAAGCAGUUUACUCAAUCCGCUAAUUUGAAAUUACAUAUGAUGACUCACACUGGAGAAAAGCCUCAUAAGUGCGAAAUCUGUUUUAAGCAGUUUACUCGAGUCGGUGAUUUGAAACCACAUAUGAUGACUCACACUGGAGAAAAACCUCAUACGUGUGAAAUUUGUUUGAAACAACUUACUGCAGCAUGUAGUCUGAAAUCACAUGAUGACUCCCACGGGAGAACAACCUCAUAAGUGUGAAAUUUGUUUGAAACAAUUUAUUGCAGCAAGUACUUUGAAAAGACAUUUGAGAGUGCAUACUGGAGAAAAGCUUUACAAGUGCGAAAUUUGUUUUAAGCAGUUUACUCGAGCUGGUCCUUUGAAACCACACAUGAUGACUCAUAUUGGAAAAACCUCACAGAUGUGAAACUUGUGUGAAAUAAUUUAUUUGUGCAGGAAAUUUGAGAGCACACACUGGAGAAAAGCCUUAAAAAUGUGAUAUUUCUUUUAAUCAAUUUAGUGUAUUUGUUUAAUUUAAUUUAUUAAUGUUCUGUAUUUUGAGAACGAUUUCCGUGGAAAUCGAAACGUUACAUAAACUUAAUUUGAAAGUAAAAUUGUGACUUAUUCCCAAUAAAAAUAGUAAAUAGCUUUAUAAGGAAGGGUGCAAUUUAGCUUUAUAAGGGUGAAAUAAUAAGAGUACAGGGGAAAACAAGAAAUGUCGCAUUUUAUACAUAUUGAGAUAAACACCAAUAAAGGUUUAAUUCUUAUGAUAUCUAAAAACUAUUUAGGCGAUUCUUAUCAGAAUUCAAGCAAUUCUUAUUCUAUAAUCUUAAUAUAACAGUAAUCUAUAUUAAACUUAUUAAUUUAAUAAUACACCAAAAACUGCUAAUAUUCCUUAUUUUUGUUCAGUUGCGUGCCUAGUUCUUUGCCUGGAUACAAAUUCUUAGAAAAUUUAUAUAUGUAGACUGAUCUUUCUAGUUAUUGUCCUGAAUGGAUGGGCUAGUCGAUAGUAUGUACUUAGUUUUUACUAUCACAUGGCGAGAAAAGUAAAAAUUCAUGAAAAAGUGACAUCCUUUGUUUUUUCCCUGUACUCUUUAAUUUGUUCUCAACAAUUUGCUGUUUAUCACAUAAUGAGUAUAAAAUUUCAAUAAAGUUGCUAAAUAAAA